GACGAACGCUGGCGGCGUGCUUAACACAUGCAAGUCGAACGGAAAGGCCCUGCUUUUGUGGGGUGCUCGAGUGGCGAACGGGUGAGUAACACGUGAGUAACCUGCCCUUGACGUUGGGAUAACUUCAGGAAACUGGUGCUAAUACCGGAUAGGAGCUCCUGCUGCAUGGUGGGGGUUGGAAAGUUUCGGCGGUUGGGGAUGGACUCGCGGCUUAUCAGCUGGUUGGUGGGGUAGUGGCUUACCAAGGCUUUGACGGGUAGCCGGCCUGGGAGGGUGACCGGCCACGUUGGGCCGGAGCUACGGCCCAGACUCGAACGGGAGGCAGCGGUGGAGAAUAUUGUACAAUGGGCGGAAGCCUGAUGCGGCAACGCCGCGAGCGGGAAGACGGCCAUGGGGUUGUAAACCGCAUUCGCCUGUGACGAAGCGUGAGUGACGGUAAUGGGUGAAGAAGCACCGGCUAACUUCGUG
Molecule: ribosomal RNA, 468 nt
Filed under: uncultured bacterium
Lineage: Bacteria
Description: partial 16S ribosomal RNA
Rfam family: Bacterial small subunit ribosomal RNA
Source: RNAcentral